GACGAACGCUGGCGGCGUGCUUAACACAUGCAAGUCGAACGGGCCCGCUCUCUUUUUUGGGGGUGGGUUGAGUGGCGAACGGGUGAGUAUCACGUGAGUAACCUGCCCCCUGCUCCUGGAUAACUGCUUGAAAGGGCGGCUAAUACGGGGUGUGCCGGCUGGUCCGCAUGGGCCUGGUCGGGAUAGUUUCAUCUUCGGGUGUUUCGGUGGGGGAUGGGCUCGCGGCCUAUCAGCUUGUUGGUGGGGUGAUGGCCCACCAAGGCGGUGAGGGGUAGCCGGCCUGAGAGGGUGGGCGGCCACACUGGGACUGAGACACGGCCCAGACUCCUGCGGGAGGCAGCAGUGGGGGGUAUUGCACAAUGGACGGAAGCCUGAUGCAGCGACGUCGAGUGAGGGAUGGAGGCCUUCGGGUUGUGAACCUCUUUCUCCGGUGGUGAAGGCCCUGUCCGUUGCGGCGGGGUUGACGGUAGCCGGGGAUGAAGCGCCGGCUAACUACGUG
RNAcentral lists this ribosomal RNA (499 nucleotides) under uncultured bacterium. RNAcentral describes it as "partial 16S ribosomal RNA". It matches the Rfam family "Bacterial small subunit ribosomal RNA", at positions 28 to 507 of the family's 1533-position model. The record is from RNAcentral.